Molecule: ribosomal RNA, 269 nt
Filed under: uncultured Acetivibrio sp.
Lineage: Bacteria; Bacillati; Bacillota; Clostridia; Acetivibrionales; Acetivibrionaceae
Description: partial 16S ribosomal RNA
Rfam family: Bacterial small subunit ribosomal RNA
Source: RNAcentral
UAUAAAGUGUCGAACGGCUGAGUAACACGUGAGCAACCUGCCUCUUGCAGGGGAAUAACAACGGGAAACCGUUGCUAAUACCGCAUAACAUGUUAAAAGGGCAUCCUUUUAACAUCAAAGGAGUAAUCCGGUAAGAGAUGGGCUCGCGUCCGAUUAGCUAGUUGGUAGGGUAACGGCCUACCAAGGCGACGAUCGGUAGCCGGACUGAGAGGUCGAACGGCCGCAUUGGGACUGAGACACGGCCCAGACUCCUACGGGAGGCAGCAGCU